ACACCAUGAUCCAUCAGGGGGCAUUAACUUAUCUUUGUAGUAGUUGUCUCUAAUAUGUCCUCCAUAGGAGGUCUAUAUUGAGCAGAUUUUUUUUGGUUUUGGGUGGUGGAACUGGAGCUUGCUCCAUCCCCUCCAUGCAUCGGCCUGGUAUUACAGCACUUCCAGGAAUGGUGCAAAAAAA
RNAcentral lists this small nuclear RNA (181 nucleotides) under Crocodylus porosus (Australian saltwater crocodile). RNAcentral's name for it is "U2 spliceosomal RNA (ENSCPRG00005001109.1)". The stretch from base 24 to 181 matches the Rfam family "U2 spliceosomal RNA". From Rfam's summary of the family: U2 is a small nuclear RNA (snRNA) component of the spliceosome (involved in pre-mRNA splicing). Complementary binding between U2 snRNA (in an area lying towards the 5' end but 3' to hairpin I) and the branchpoint sequence (BPS) of the intron results the bulging out of an unpaired adenosine, on the BPS, which initiates a nucleophilic attack at the intronic 5' splice site, thus starting the first of two transesterification reactions that mediate splicing. The record is from Rfam by way of RNAcentral. Lineage: Eukaryota; Metazoa; Chordata; Crocodylia; Crocodylidae.